GACGAACGCUGGCGGCGUGCCUAACACAUGCAAGUCGAACGGAAAGGCGCGGCUCUUGUGGGGUGCUCGAGUGGCGAACGCGUGAGUAAAACGUGAGUAACCUGCACUUAUCAUUGGGAUAACAUCAGGGAACUGCGGCGAAUACCGGAUAGGAGAUCCUGAUGCACGGGGGGGGAUGGAAAGUUACGGCGGUGGGGGCUGGUCUCGCGGCUUAUCAGCUUGUUGGUGGGGUAGUGGCUUACCAAGUCUAUGAAGGGUAGCCGGCCUGGGAGGGGGGCCGGGCACCAGGGGACUGCGAGACGCCCCAGACUCCUACGGUCGGCAGCGGUGGGGAGUAUGGCACAAUGGGCGGAAGCCUGUUGCAGCGACCCCGCGUGCGGGAUGACGGCCUUCUGGUUGUAAACCGCUUUCGCCUGUGACGAAGCGUGAGUGACGGUAAUGGGUAAAGAAGCACCGGCUAACUACGUG
RNAcentral lists this ribosomal RNA (468 nucleotides) under uncultured bacterium. RNAcentral's name for it is "partial 16S ribosomal RNA". It matches the Rfam family "Bacterial small subunit ribosomal RNA", at positions 28 to 507 of the family's 1533-position model. The record is from RNAcentral.